AACCAUUCUCACCUGCGGCUAGACCUGCGGAAGGAUCAUUAUUGAAUUUUAAUGAAGAGUCUGGUUGUAGCUGGUCCAUUUAAUUGGGCAUGUGCACACCUUUCUCUUUCAUCCACACACACCUGUGAACCUGUGAGACAGAUGGGAAAUUUUUGCUUAUUUAUUUUUUGAAAUACAAAGAUAACUGAGUGAUUUGGACCCCUCUGUCUACUCAAUUCAAUAUAAACUCAAUUUAUUCUA
Molecule: unclassified non-coding RNA, 240 nt
Filed under: soil metagenome
Description: partial contains 5.8S ribosomal RNA, internal transcribed spacer 2, and large subunit ribosomal RNA
Source: RNAcentral